This 207-nucleotide ribosomal RNA is filed under the name uncultured bacterium. RNAcentral describes it as "partial 16S ribosomal RNA". It matches the Rfam family "Bacterial small subunit ribosomal RNA", at positions 568 to 774 of the family's 1533-position model. The record is from RNAcentral.
UGCGUAGGCGGUCUACUAAGUUGGAUGUGAAAUCCCCGGGCUUAACUUGGGGACUGCAUCUAAUACUGGCGGACUAGAGUGCAGGAGAGGGAAGCGGAAUUCCUAGUGUAGCGGUGAAAUGCGUAGAUAUUAGGAGGAACACCAGUGGCGAAGGCGGCUUUCUGGACUGUAACUGACGCUGAGGCACGAAAGCGUGGGUAGCAAACA